GAUGAACGCUGGCUACAGGCUUAACACAUGCAAGUCGAGGGGAAACGAUAUUGGAAGCUUGCUUCCGAUAGGCGUCGACCGGCGCACGGGUGAGUAACGCGUAUCCAACCUGCCCACCACUUGGGGAUAACCUUGCGAAAGUAAGACUAAUACCCAAUGAUAUCUCAAGAAGACAUCUGAAUGAGAUUAAAGAUUUAUCGGUGAUGGAUGGGGAUGCGGCUGAUUAGCUUGUUGGCGGGGUAACGGACCACCAAGGCUACGAUCAGUAGGGGUUCUGAGAGGAAGGUCCCCCACAUUGGAACUGAGACACGGUCCAAACUCCUACGGGAGGCAGCAGUGAGGAAUAUUGGUCAAUGGGCGAGAGCCUGAACCAGCCAAGUAGCGUGCAGGAUGACGGCCCUAUGGGUUGUAAACUGCUUUUAUAAGGGAAUAAAGUGAGCCUCAUGAGGCUUUUUGCAUGUACCUUAUGAAUAAGGACCGGCUAACUACGUGCCAGCAGCCGCCGUAA
This 508-nucleotide ribosomal RNA is filed under the name uncultured bacterium. RNAcentral describes it as "partial 16S ribosomal RNA". It matches the Rfam family "Bacterial small subunit ribosomal RNA", at positions 28 to 523 of the family's 1533-position model. The record is from RNAcentral.